AUGCCAUUCAAUGUGGGCAUGUAUCGGUCGAAUUACUGGUGGUGGAAAUUAGAGACACAAAACGGGCUCUGGCAGGAUAUAGUCCGGGCCAGGUAUUUUCGCAACAUCUCUGUUGCUGAAAUUUCCCCCAAAUUCUCUGACUCGCCCUGUUGGAAGGCCUUGCUCAAAAUCAAGAACAUAUAUAUGAUGGGCAGGAAAAUUGAAACUGGUGCUGGGAACUUGAUAAGAUUGUGGAAAGAUCCAAUUAAUGGGCUGACCCCAUUUCAGGAUCAAUACCCACGUUUGUUUGAGAUAUGCAAUUACCCAACUAGUACCCUGAAUAGAAAAGAUAGACUUGAUGACCCUGAUAUAUUCAGACGUAGGCUUACCCCUGAGCUGUCCAAGCAAUGGGAGGAUAUGCAUGCUGCGGUUAAUAGAAUCCACCUCGAUGAGAGGAGUGAUCGUGUCUUCUGGGGACUCAACCAGAAUGGCAAGUUCACCACUAAAUCGGUGUAUAAGAUGUUGGAGGAGCCUCUUAGUGGAUGCCACUACAGAUGGAUUUGGAAAGCCAAAAUCCCUCUUAAAAUCAAAAUCUUCCUAUGGCAGAUGUCGCAAGACGCAAUUUUCACUAGGCAAGUUAUGAGAAAGAAGAAAUGGCCGGGGAAUCCCUGUUGCUCUUUUUGCAAAUAG
This 669-nucleotide ribosomal RNA is filed under the name Triticum aestivum (bread wheat). Its description in RNAcentral is "partial small subunit ribosomal RNA". Lineage: Eukaryota; Viridiplantae; Streptophyta; Magnoliopsida; Poales; Poaceae. The record is from RNAcentral.